CGUGUUGUUGAAUUUGGCUGUUCAUGUUUACAACAGUUCAGGAGACAUUAGGAAGAUCAUCAUCACGAGUUAAAUUCACAUCUUUACUUUUGAUGAUUGUUCUACAGCAAGAUUGUCCCCAUAAGUGCAAAUGAUGAAUUCAAUCCUUAUGGCUCCCUUCAGUUUUCUUUUCAGCACUUUCUUUCUCUUUCUCUGCCUUUUCUUUCUCAGCCUUCUGUUUCAGCUUCUCCAGCCUCUCCCUCUCCUUUUUCUGGAUAUAGACAUUCUCAGCAGCGCGUUCCUCUUCGCUCAGGACACGGCCCUUGCCAUCGCUGAAGUAGCGAGUUGCCCCCCGAGUUGAAUCCAUCGAACGAGUAAUACAAAGUCGGCUCAGUGCAAAUCUGGUCGCCAUUUCUUGAGUUUUGGCGAUGAUUAAAACGCUUCAACUCUUACUUUGUUGAAACGAAAUAUAGAUGGAUUGAUCCUUUGUUUGGAUUGAGAGGAAUGGAG
Molecule: unclassified non-coding RNA, 489 nt
Filed under: Hevea brasiliensis (rubber tree)
Lineage: Eukaryota; Viridiplantae; Streptophyta; Magnoliopsida; Malpighiales; Euphorbiaceae
Source: RNAcentral